AACGAACGCUGGCGGCAUGCCUAACACAUGCAAGUCGAACGAAGGCUUCGGCCUUAGUGGCGCACGGGUGAGUAACGCGUGGGAAACUGCCUAUUGGUGGGGAAUAACGACGGGAAACUGUCGCUAAUACCGCAUAGGCCCUUCGGGGGAAAGAUUUAUCGCCGAUAGAUGUGCCCGCGUCCGAUUAGCUAGUUGGUGAGGUAAUGGCUCACCAAGGCGACGAUCGGUAGCUGGUCUGAGAGGAUGAUCAGCCACGCUGGGACUGAGACACGGCCCAGACUCCUACGGGAGGCAGCAGUGGGGAAUAUUGGACAAUGGGCGAAAGCCUGAUCCAGCAAUGCCGCGUGAGUGAUGAAGGCCUUAGGGUUGUAAAGCUCUUUCGGGUGGGACGAUGAUGACGGUACCACCAGAAGAAGCCCCGGCUAACUUCGUGCCAGCCGCCGCGGUAA
Molecule: ribosomal RNA, 449 nt
Filed under: uncultured bacterium
Lineage: Bacteria
Description: partial 16S ribosomal RNA
Rfam family: Bacterial small subunit ribosomal RNA
Source: RNAcentral